UUAUAUCUAAAUGGGUCUAAAUGGGUAUAUGGGUUUAAAUGGACAACUCUAAUAGAUCUUAAAGUUAAAUGAGUUUAAAUGAGGUGGGUUUUAAAUGGGACGGACUUUAAAUGGGGUGGACAUGCCCAUAUUAACAUUACUACUUCUCCAUAUGCUUCAGUCUGCGCGAGAGC
Molecule: small RNA, 173 nt
Filed under: Arabidopsis thaliana (thale cress)
Lineage: Eukaryota; Viridiplantae; Streptophyta; Magnoliopsida; Brassicales; Brassicaceae
Description: ATSL102070
Source: RNAcentral